GAAGGUGGCAAGCGUUGUUCGGAAUCACUGGGCUUAAAGCGCGCGUAGGCGGAAAUUCAAGUGUCUUGUGAAAUCCCUCGGCUUAACCGAGGAAUUGCUUGGCAAACUGAAUUUCUUGAGAUAAGUAGGGGUACAUGGAACUCUUGGUGGAGCGGUGGAAUGCGUAGAUAUCAAGAGGAACGCCGAAGGUGAAGACAGUGUACUGGGCUUAUUCUGACGCUGAGGUGCGAAAGCGUGGGGAGCGAACGGGAUUAGAUACCCCGGUAGUCCACGCCGUAAACGAUGUCUACUAGGUUGUGGAGGUUCUGACACCCUCACAGUCGAAGCAAAAGUGUUAAGUAGACCGCCUGGGGAGUACGGUCGCAAGGCUA
This 371-nucleotide ribosomal RNA is filed under the name uncultured organism. Its description in RNAcentral is "partial 16S ribosomal RNA". It matches the Rfam family "Bacterial small subunit ribosomal RNA", at positions 527 to 896 of the family's 1533-position model. The record is from RNAcentral.